RNAcentral lists this ribosomal RNA (450 nucleotides) under uncultured bacterium. RNAcentral's name for it is "partial 16S ribosomal RNA". It matches the Rfam family "Bacterial small subunit ribosomal RNA", at positions 338 to 795 of the family's 1533-position model. The record is from RNAcentral.
CCUACGGGUGGCUGCAGUGAGGAAUAUUGGUCAAUGGGCGAGAGCCUGAACCAGCCAAGUAGCGUGAAGGAUGAAGGUCCUAUGGAUUGUAAACUUCUUUUAUAGUAGAAUAAAGUGAGCCACGUGUGGUUUUUUGUAUGUAUACUAUGAAUAAGGAUCGGCUAACUCCGUGCCAGCAGCCGCGGUAAUACGGAGGAUCCGAGCGUUAUCCGGAUUUAUUGGGUUUAAGGGGUGAGUAUACGGCAUAAUAGAAAGUUUGCGGCUCAACCGUAAAAUUGCAGUUGAUACUGUUAUUCUUGAGUGUACAUAAGGUAGGCGGAAUUCGUGGUGUAGCGGUGAAAUGCUUAGAUAUCACGAAGAACUCCAAUUGCGAAGGCAGCUUACCGGGGUACAACUGACGCUGAGGCACGAAAGUGUGGGUAUCAAACAGGAUUAGAUACCCCUGUAGUC